Molecule: ribosomal RNA, 407 nt
Filed under: uncultured bacterium
Lineage: Bacteria
Description: partial 16S ribosomal RNA
Rfam family: Bacterial small subunit ribosomal RNA
Source: RNAcentral
GACGAACGCUGGCGGCGUGCCUAACACAUGCAAGUAGAACGCAGUUGCGAACGGGUGAGUAACGCGUAGGUAACUGCCUCAUAGCGGGGGAUAACUAUUGGAAACGAUAGUUAAUACCCCAUACUGUGAGAUGGACCUGCGUUGUAUUAGCUAGUUGGUGAGGUAAAGGCUCACCAAGGCCACGAUCCAUAGCCGGCCUGGGAGGGUGAUCGGCCACACUGGGACUGGGACACGGCCCAGACUCCUACGGGAGGCAGCAGUAGGGAAUCAUCGGCAAUGGACGGAAGUCUGACCGAGCAACGCCGCGGGAGUGGAGAAGGUUUUCGGGUCGUAAAACUCUGGUGUUAGAGAAGCGGUAACUAACGAGAAAGGGACGGCUAACUACGUGCCAGCAGCCGCGGUAAUUC